CCUACGGGUGGCAGCAGUGAGGAAUAUUGGUCAAUGGCCGUAAGCCUGAACCAGCCAAGUCGCGUGAAGGAAGAAGGAUCUAUGGUUUGUAAACUUCUUUUAUAGGGGAAUAAAGGUCUCCACGUGUGGAUUUUUGUAUGUACCCUAUGAAUAAGCAUCGGCUAACUCCGUGCCAGCAGCCGCGGUAAUACGGAGGAUGCGAGCGUUAUCCGGAUUUAUUGGGUUUAAAGGGUGCGUAGGUUGUGUUUUAAGUCAGCGGUGAAAGUUUGUGGCUCAACCAUAAAAUUGCCGUUGGAACUGGAAGACUUGAGUGUGUUUGAGGGAAGCGGGAUGCGUGGUGG
This 341-nucleotide ribosomal RNA is filed under the name uncultured bacterium. RNAcentral describes it as "partial 16S ribosomal RNA". It matches the Rfam family "Bacterial small subunit ribosomal RNA", at positions 338 to 676 of the family's 1533-position model. The record is from RNAcentral.